This 429-nucleotide ribosomal RNA is filed under the name Chloroflexota bacterium. RNAcentral describes it as "Chloroflexi bacterium partial 16S ribosomal RNA". It matches the Rfam family "Bacterial small subunit ribosomal RNA", at positions 355 to 776 of the family's 1533-position model. RNAcentral also lists the same sequence under 1 other name. Lineage: Bacteria; Bacillati; Chloroflexota. The record is from RNAcentral.
UAGGGAAUCUUCGGCAAUGGACGAAAGUCUGACCGAGCAACGCCGCGUGAGUGAAGAAGGUUUUCGGAUCGUAAAACUCUGUUGUUAGAGAAGAACAAGGACGUUAGUAACUGAACGUCCCCUGACGGUAUCUGACCAGAAAGCCACGGCUAACUACGUGCCAGCAGCCGCGGUAAUACGUAGGUGGCAAGCGUUGUCCGGAUUUAUUGGGCGUAAAGCGAGCGCAGGCGGUUUCUUAAGUCUGAUGUGAAAGCCCCCGGCUCAACCGGGGAGGGUCAUUGGAAACUGGGAGACUUGAGUGCAGAAGAGGAGAGUGGAAUUCCAUGUGUAGCGGUGAAAUGCGUAGAUAUAUGGAGGAACACCAGUGGCGAAGGCGGCUCUCUGGUCUGUAACUGACGCUGAGGCUCGAAAGCGUGGGGAGCAAACAGG